Hyalella azteca is the source of this 965-nucleotide long non-coding RNA. RefSeq lists it as uncharacterized. The transcript has 3 exons. Lineage: Eukaryota; Metazoa; Arthropoda; Malacostraca; Amphipoda; Hyalellidae. The record is from RefSeq and is a predicted model, not a curated record.
UCCGCUCUAUACAGUGGUGUGGCCGGGAAGUACAGAGAAUGUACGUGUGGUGCAGUGAACACGACCCGAAUUCGGUUAAUUUUGGAUAAAUAUUGGAGGCAAAUCACAAAUGUUGAAUGCAGCUAAACCCGACUAUAACUUUGCCCGCGAAGCAGUCGAGGCCCGAGAGGAAUCGGGUGAACAGUCUCUCAAGUUUCACGGCAUUGACUGCAUCGAUAUCGGGUGCACGAGGGACCUGAUAUGCUGUCAAAUUUCUGCUUAUUGCACCACACGAUGAUUGUUAAUAAAGGGGAGUCUAGCCAACUGCUGUGCCUAGUCUACAUGUCCAGCUGUGUCGACGUUUACCUCAGCAGUGGAAAGCCGCCGCGAAAACUACCCGCUUAGAACCAGAGCUUGUUCAGUGAAACUUGCUGGAUUAUCGGAAACAGCCACAACGCAUCACCGACCCACUCAGAAAACAUUCCAAGUUAUCAUGGUGUGUCAUGCGUGCAGUUGCUUUUAGUAUGGUGAUUUUGUAUACUAUUUUCCCUUGAAAUUAACUUUUCAACUAUUAUCAAUUUCCGUUCUGAGAUGAUGAGUUUCAUGCAUUGAAUACUGAAGUACUCAUUUUAGAAAUUUCAAACAAGUUUAGAGUUCCACUUCACGUAUUUGACUACUGAUUACUAAGUUAGAUUCUCAAGUAUUGUGGUGCUUAUCAUUUACAAUUUAUACGAGAUGAUGUUAUCCUUUAGCUGACGCCGUUGUAAAAACCGGGAAUAAGCUUGUAUGUAUAUUUUGAAAAUAAUGAAGGGGCUACAUUAUCGUACGUAAUCGUGUAUUGUUCUAAAAUAUAGUUAUACCAGUUUUGGAAUAGAUUUCUUAAUUUAUGUUUGUCGAUGCUUAAACUCCAUGUGUAAUGCUUUACGUUUUACUCCAAAAAUGUUUUGUAGUUUGAAUGUUUACAUGCACUUGAGGUUCUAAUAAAC